GGCGAUCAGAUACCGCCCUAGUUCUGACCGUAAACGAUGCCAACUAGCGAUCCGCCAGUCGACUCAUCGCUCUGGUGGGGAGCUUCCCGGAAACGAAAGUCUUCCGGUUCCGGGGGAAGUAUGGUUGCAAAGCUGAAACUUAAAGGAAUUGACGGAAGGGCACCACCAGGAGUGGAGCCUGCGGCUUAAUUUGACUCAACACGGGGAAACUCACCCGGCCCGGACACCGUAAGGAUUGACAGAUUGAUAGCUUUUUCAUGAUUCGGUGGAUGGUGGUGCAUGGCCGUUCUUAGUUCGUGGAGCGAUUUGUCUGGUUUAUUCCGAUAACGAGCGAGACUCUGGCCUACUAAAUAGUUGACGCAUUGCCACUGUGCGCACAACUUCUUAGAGGGAUUUUCGGUGUUUUCAACCGCACGAAAUUGAGCAAUAACAGGUCUGUGAUGCCCUUAGAUGUCCGGGGCUGCGCGCGCGCUACACUGGCAAACGCAACGUGCCUGUCCUGCCCGGAAAGGAGCGGGUAAACCCCUGAAAUUUUGCCGUGAUUGGGAUCGGACAUUGCAACUAUUGUCCGUGAACGAGGAAUUCCUUGUAGGGGCGAGUCAUCAACUCGUCCCGAAUACGUCCCUGCCCUUGUA
RNAcentral lists this ribosomal RNA (635 nucleotides) under Rotylenchulus reniformis. RNAcentral's name for it is "SSU rRNA". It matches the Rfam family "Eukaryotic small subunit ribosomal RNA", at positions 1003 to 1664 of the family's 1831-position model. Lineage: Eukaryota; Metazoa; Nematoda; Chromadorea; Rhabditida; Hoplolaimidae. The record is from RNAcentral.